RNAcentral lists this ribosomal RNA (431 nucleotides) under uncultured eukaryote. Its description in RNAcentral is "bacterial SSU rRNA". It matches the Rfam family "Eukaryotic small subunit ribosomal RNA", at positions 592 to 1018 of the family's 1831-position model. The record is from RNAcentral.
CAAUAGCGUAUAUUAAAGUUGUUGCGGUUAAAAAGCUCGUAGUUGGAUUUCUGCCGAGGACGACCGGUCCGCCCUCUGGGUGAGCAUCUGGGACGGCCUGGGCAUCCUCUUGGGGAACGUAGCUGCACUUGACUGUGUGGUGCGGUAUCCAGGACUUUUACUUUGAGGAAAUUAGAGUGUUUCAAGCAGGCGCACGCCUUGAAUACAUUAGCAUGGAAUAAUGGAAUAGGACUUUGGUUCUAUUUUGUUGGUUUCUAGGACCGAGUAAUGAUUAAUAGGGAUAGUUGGGGGCAGUUAGUAUUUAGUUGUUCAGAGGUGAAAUUCUUAGGAUUUACUAAAGUACUAAACUUCUGCGAAAGCAUUUGCCUAAGGAUGUUUUCAUUUAAUCAAGAACGAAAGUUAAGGGGAAUCGGAAGAUGAUCAGAUACCAU